This 229-nucleotide long non-coding RNA is filed under the name Rosa chinensis. Its description in RNAcentral is "sRNA RchiOBHm_Chr1g0330751". The record is from RNAcentral. Lineage: Eukaryota; Viridiplantae; Streptophyta; Magnoliopsida; Rosales; Rosaceae.
GCUGCAUGUCUGUGAAUGGGUGGAAGUCGAUUUGGCAGUAUGUUUGUAGCCGGGUUCCGGGAAAGAGUUGAAUUAGAAGCUUGGGUUCUCACCUGCAAGUCGCACUGCUGAAGGACUUAGGACUCCAGUUACCUUAAGAACGGAAGGUUCGCGACUCUCGGAGUACGUAAGAGAAAGCAUCGGAAUCCAGUUUGGAUGCAGGUACUGUGCACUGGUGACGGGACAAUGG